UUGACCUCGGAUCAGGUAGGACUACCCGCUGAACUUAAGCAUAUCAAUAAGCGGAGGAAAAGAAACCAACAGGGAUUGCCCCAGUAACGGCGAGUGAAGCGGCAACAGCUCAGAUUUGGAAUCUGGCCCCUAGGGCCCGAGUUGUAAUCUGGAGAGGAUGCUUCUGGCGCGGCGCCUUCCGAGUUCCCUGGAACGGGACGCCGGAGAGGGUGAGAGCCCCGUACGGUUGGACGCCUAGCCUUUGUGAAGCUCCUUCGACGAGUCGAGUAGUUUGGGAAUGCUGCUCAAAAUGGGAGGUAAAUUUCUUCUAAAGCUAAAUACCGGCCAGAGACCGAUAGCGCACAAGUAGAGUGAUCGAAAGAUGAAAAGCACUUUGAAAAGAGGG
This 385-nucleotide ribosomal RNA is filed under the name Grosmannia aurea. RNAcentral describes it as "eukaryotic LSU rRNA". It matches the Rfam family "Eukaryotic large subunit ribosomal RNA", at positions 1 to 387 of the family's 3401-position model. Lineage: Eukaryota; Fungi; Ascomycota; Sordariomycetes; Ophiostomatales; Ophiostomataceae. The record is from RNAcentral.